AGAUGCGAUCAUACCAGCACUAAAGCAUCGGAUCCCAUCAGAACUACGCAGUUAAGGGUGCUUGGGCGAGAGUAGUACUAGGAUGGGUGACCUCCAGGAAAGUCCUCGUGUUGCAUCCC
Arabidopsis thaliana (thale cress) is the source of this 119-nucleotide ribosomal RNA. Lineage: Eukaryota; Viridiplantae; Streptophyta; Magnoliopsida; Brassicales; Brassicaceae. The record is from Rfam.